GAUGAACGCUAGCUACAGGCUUAACGCAUGCAAGUCGCGGGGCAGCAUGGGGGUUGCUUGCAAUCCCCGAUGGCGACCGGCGCACGGGUGAGUAACGCGUAUCCAACCUGCCCUUCACCACGGGAUAACCCGGCGAAAGUCGGACUAAUACCGUAUGUUUUCCCUUGACGGCAUCCGAUUUGGACGCAAGUUUUGCCGGUGUAGUCUGGGGAUGCUUCCGAUUAGCUGGACGGCGGGGUGACGGCCCACCGUGGCGACGAUCGGUAGGGGUUCUGAGAGGAAGGUCCCCCACACUGGAACUGAGACACGGUCCAGACUCCUACGGGAGGCAGCAGUGAGGAAUAUUGGUCAAUGGGCGUAAGCCUGAACCAGCCAAGUAGCGUGCAGGAUGACGGCCCUAUGGGUUGUAAACUGCUUUUAUGCGGGGAUAAAGUGGCCCACGUGUGGGUUUUUGCAGGUACCGCAUGAAUAAGGACCGGCUAAUUCCGUG
Molecule: ribosomal RNA, 490 nt
Filed under: uncultured bacterium
Lineage: Bacteria
Description: partial 16S ribosomal RNA
Rfam family: Bacterial small subunit ribosomal RNA
Source: RNAcentral